AUACGGAGGAUCCGAGCGUUAUCCGGAUUUAUUGGGUUUAAAGGGUGCGCAGGCGGGAGAUUAAGUCGGCGGUGAAAUUUUGCAGCUCAACUGUAAAAGUGCCUUCGAAACUGGUUUCCUUGAGUGUAGAUGAAGUAGGCGGAAUUUGUGGUGUAGCGGUGAAAUGCAUAGAUAUCACGAGGAACUCCGAUUGCGCAGGCAGCUUACUAAACUACUACUGACGCUCAGGCACGAAGGCGUGGGGAUCAAACAGGAUUAGAUACCCUGGUAGUCCACGCAGUAAACGAUGAUUACUAGCUGUUUGCGAUACAAUGUAGGCGGCUGAGCGAAAGCGUUAAGUAAUCCACCUGGGGAGUACGUUCGCAAGAAUGAAACUCAAAUGAAUUGACGGGG
RNAcentral lists this ribosomal RNA (393 nucleotides) under uncultured bacterium. RNAcentral describes it as "partial 16S ribosomal RNA". It matches the Rfam family "Bacterial small subunit ribosomal RNA", at positions 523 to 918 of the family's 1533-position model. The record is from RNAcentral.